AUGGCGGACGCAUGCCGUGCCCGCGCCGAGUGCCGGGCUGCCCUCGCCACCCGCGUCGCUCAGACGGCCCCUGUCGGCGGGCCACCUCGUCGUUCUCCGCCGCCUCCGCCAACGCCGCCACCGGCCCGGCGUGGAACGAGCAGCAAGCGUCCUCGCUGCAUCCCUCGAUGCGGCGGGACGGCCACACCGCCACUCCAUCGCCGACUCCCGCUGGUUCGUCGUCUCACGCUCGUCGCGCUCCCAUGGACGCACGGGCCGCGCUCCUCAUGGCGCACGAGCUCCUGCGCUACCGUCCGGUCGAUGACCUUUACAAGGAUUGGCUCGACCGCAUCGCCGAGCUUGUCUGCGCCGCAGGGGGCUCCCCUGCGCCGUCCCUCUCUCUGCCUCGCCCUCCGCCAGCUACGGGCGACGUAG
This 414-nucleotide ribosomal RNA is filed under the name Triticum aestivum (bread wheat). RNAcentral describes it as "partial small subunit ribosomal RNA". The record is from RNAcentral. Lineage: Eukaryota; Viridiplantae; Streptophyta; Magnoliopsida; Poales; Poaceae.